This 419-nucleotide ribosomal RNA is filed under the name bacterium. RNAcentral describes it as "partial 16S ribosomal RNA". It matches the Rfam family "Bacterial small subunit ribosomal RNA", at positions 355 to 776 of the family's 1533-position model. The record is from RNAcentral.
UGGGGGAUAUUGCACAAUGGGCGAAAGCCUGAUGCAGCGACGCCGCGUGGGGGAUGAAGGCUUUCGGGUUGUAAACCUCUUUCGCUAUCGAACAAGGCCGCUUAGGGUGGGUUGAGGGUAGGUGGAGAAGAAGCGCCGGCUAACUACGUGCCAGCAGCCGCGGUAAUACGUAGGGCGCGAGCGUUGUCCGGAAUUAUUGGGCGUAAAGGGCUUGUAGGCGGCUUGUUGCGCCUGCUGUGAAAACGCGGGGCUUAACUUCGCGCGUGCAGUGGGUACGGGCAGGCUUGAGUGUGGUAGGGGUGACUGGAAUUCCAGGUGUAGCGGUGGAAUGCGCAGAUAUCUGGAGGAACACCGAUGGCGAAGGCAGGUCACUGGGCCAUUACUGACGCUGAGGAGCGAAAGCAUGGGUAGCGAACAGG